This 388-nucleotide ribosomal RNA is filed under the name uncultured bacterium. RNAcentral describes it as "bacterial SSU rRNA". It matches the Rfam family "Bacterial small subunit ribosomal RNA", at positions 28 to 417 of the family's 1533-position model. The record is from RNAcentral.
GACGAACGCUGGCGGCGUGCUUAACACAUGCAAGUCGAGCGGUAAGGCCCUUUCGGGGGUACACGAGCGGCGAACGGGUGAGUAACACGUGGGUGACCUGCCUUUAGCUCUGGGAUAAGCCUGGGAAACUGGGUCUAAUACCGGAUACGACUCCGCGGUGCAUGCUGUGGGGUGGAAAGCCUUGUGCGGCUGGAGAUGGGCCCGCGGCCUAUCAGCUUGUUGGUGGGGUGAUGGCCACCAAGGCGACGACGGGUAGCCGGCCUGAGAGGGCGACCGGCCGACACUGGGACUGAGACACGGCCCAGACUCCUACGGGAGGCAGCAGUGGGGAAUCUUGCGCAAUGGGCGAAAGCCUGACGCAGCGACGCCGCGUGAGGGAUGACGGCCU